UGACCUUUGGCGGCUCAUAAUAACCUUGACACUAGGUUUGUUGAGGUCGGUUUUCCACUUCACAACCCAGACGAUAGAAGAUUAAUAACUGACGGAUAUAAGCCGCUAAGCACUCAGGGUGGCACAUCAGAAAAAUAAGGAUGAAGUGGCAAUUUUAUUGUUAUGAGCACAUAUGGGUUUUAAAAGGAUCAACUGAAACAAUUUGUUUGUUAAUUGGCUGUAUGCUAGCGUUUGCUGCAUAUUGGGCAACAAUGUGGUGGGCACUAAAGGUGCCUCCGCCACCCACGAGAACUUACCCUCCUAACGAUAAUACAACCGAAGAUAGCCCAGACGUUAUGUUGUAUUAUUGACACAGUGAAUGUGCUUCGAACACUUAUAAACUUGUUAUAACGUUUAAGUGAAGUCUUAAGAUGCAUCGGGCUUACACUCUAACUAAAUCAGUAACAAUUGACUGAUAUAAAUCAGCAUGCACUCAGUGGUGGCGAAAAGGAUGGACGGGCAGUUUUAUUUGUUAUAAGCCUUUACGGGUUUGAGAUGAAUCAAUUGGAACAAUCUGGGUACUUUUGACUACAGCCCUGAUGGCAACCCUGUUGUUAGGUACAAGAUACUUAUUGGAGUUAGACCAAGUGAAUAAUGAGCUGCCUAUAGUCAACAUGACGGAGAAUUUACUCAACAUGCGAAUAUAAAAGCCAUUAUUAUUAUUAAAAACUGGUAAAAAAAUUCAAAAUAACAAAAGGAACGAAGCUCCGGGAAAAUUUAUGAUUAGUUACUUACAGUUUUUUUAUUGUAAAAGGUUCACAUUUGACCUCAAUCUCAGUUACUUAGUGAAUGCCUACCGAAGAUUCCGAGCUAUCAAUGAAAAAAGAAAAACACAGACUGCGACUGGCGCUUCCGCUCUUUGCUGUUGUAAAACAUACCUACUUACUUAUCUAUUUCGACAGUUUUUUUUGAAGCGAUCGAUAAUUUUAUCACGUUACGCAUGUUAGCCCUGCUGCUGUCAGAAUUGUACAUUGUCUUGGUACCUAUUUGUCUCUUUAGCAUUAGGUUGUACUCUAUAUUUCUGUCUUGCUGUAAUACGCACCACGCUAGAGAGAAAAUAGUAUUAAAGAUAGUGUUUUUAAGGUAUCAGC
Pectinophora gossypiella (pink bollworm) is the source of this 1130-nucleotide long non-coding RNA. RefSeq lists it as uncharacterized. The transcript is spliced from 3 exons. Lineage: Eukaryota; Metazoa; Arthropoda; Insecta; Lepidoptera; Gelechiidae. The record is from RefSeq and is a predicted model, not a curated record.